GGCUGGAGUCCAAAAACUUCAGUGUUGUUACUUGUGUUGCACAAUUAUAUUUACAUUUUCUCCACAGCUGCCUUAAGCUUUUUUUAUUUCCUCCAUAGGUUCCUUAACAUUCAUUAACUGCAUCAACGUGAAGCGGGGAACCAGAGUGCAGGAUAUUUUCACAUAUGCCAAGAUUUUGACCCCUCAUCCUGAUCAUAUCUGUGGGUAUCUACAAAAUUUGUAAAGGAGAAACAGAUAAUUUUAAGGAUCCAUUUGAAGGUUCCACCAGUGACCCAGGACCUAUGGCACAAGCUCUGUACUCAGCUCUUUUUUCCUAUUCUGGAUGGGAUACACUGAAUCUUAUCACUGAGGAAAUGAAGAAUCCUGAAAGACAUUUGGUAAUAAGGUCUUCAACUAUGCUCAGUGGCUAAUUCCUCUUGCAGUCGCCAUGUCUGGUUUCAGUGGAUUAAAUUCAUCAAUCAUUGCAGCUUCCAGGUAGGAAAAGCUCAAGGUGUCCACAAAAUGCCACCCUUACCUGCCUCCCCUAGCCUUUGGGGAUCUUGCCCUUACCUGAACCUUUAACCUAUUGUUUAUACUUAUUUUUGUUAUUCUAAUUUAGUGCAGUUGUUUGUCAGUUCCCACACAUAUAGAGACUCCUCCUCUCUCCAAAUCUACUAGGAGAGCAAUCACCUCCUCAUUUAUCUUUCCAUCUCUCUAACAGGUAGCAGUACCUUGAACAAAAUGGGCAUUUACUAGAACUUGAAUAUCCCCAGUAAGGUUUUUUGUUUUGUUUUUAAAGCUAAUCUAACAGAAAUUGACAGCUCCUAAUAUUGCAUCACAUUAACUGAACAAAAAGGGGCAAAGCACAU
RNAcentral lists this long non-coding RNA (848 nucleotides) under Phascolarctos cinereus (koala). RNAcentral's name for it is "lncRNA (ENSPCIG00000031464.1)". Lineage: Eukaryota; Metazoa; Chordata; Mammalia; Diprotodontia; Phascolarctidae. The record is from RNAcentral.